RNAcentral lists this ribosomal RNA (239 nucleotides) under uncultured Lactobacillus sp. RNAcentral's name for it is "partial 16S ribosomal RNA". It matches the Rfam family "Bacterial small subunit ribosomal RNA", at positions 123 to 354 of the family's 1533-position model. Lineage: Bacteria; Bacillati; Bacillota; Bacilli; Lactobacillales; Lactobacillaceae. The record is from RNAcentral.
AACCUGCCCAAGAGAUCGGGAUAACACCUGGAAACAGAUGCUAAUACCGGAUAACAACAGAUGAUGCCUAUCAACUGUUUAAAAGAUGGUUCUGCUAUCACUCUUGGAUGGACCUGCGGUGCAUUAGCUAGUUGGUAGGGUAACGGCCUACCAAGGCGAUGAUGCAUAGCCGAGUUGAGGGACUGAUCGGCCACAUUGGGACUGAGACACGGCCCAAACUCCUACGGGAGGCAGCAGGU